RNAcentral lists this ribosomal RNA (155 nucleotides) under Bathothauma lyromma. RNAcentral describes it as "partial small subunit ribosomal RNA". The record is from RNAcentral. Lineage: Eukaryota; Metazoa; Mollusca; Cephalopoda; Oegopsida; Cranchiidae.
UCCCGUCCUCCGGUUCGCCGCUUGGGUUUCGGCCCUCGAGGCGUCCGGGACCAAAGGGCGGCGCGCUCCGCUUUGGUGACUCUGGAUAACUCACUGGUCGAUCGCACGGGCUCCACGCCCGGCGACGGGUCCCCCGAGGGUUAAACCUAUAAACU